UUUACAACAUAACUAAGAGUUUGAGACACUGAGAAGUCCAAGUACAAAAUUAAAUCUAAGUGUCUUAUAGAUUUAACAUUUCCAGUUCAUUUAAUACAAACUUGCUUCUAAAAUAUUUCUUUUUCUAGGCAAGCAGCAAGGUGUUUUCACUUGACAGAGAAGCAUAUCCCUCUUUAAAUGGCCUUCUUGGAGCAACACUUCAUAGCGUAACUCCAAACCAUAAUUUUUGCAAAAAGGGAUUCAAGAUUUGCAUUUGACAGCA
This 262-nucleotide long non-coding RNA is filed under the name Solanum tuberosum (potato). RNAcentral's name for it is "long non-coding RNA (STUB_LNC003014)". The record is from RNAcentral. Lineage: Eukaryota; Viridiplantae; Streptophyta; Magnoliopsida; Solanales; Solanaceae.